AACCCAUUGUGAGGGCACCUUCUCAAUAAAUCCUUAUAUCUCUCCCAUGCAUCGUAUAGGAUCUCUAAGUCCAUUUGCACAAAGUAAAAUAUAUCAUUCCUCAACUU
Molecule: small nucleolar RNA, 107 nt
Filed under: Gossypium barbadense (sea-island cotton)
Lineage: Eukaryota; Viridiplantae; Streptophyta; Magnoliopsida; Malvales; Malvaceae
Also listed under: 1 other name
Description: Plant small nucleolar RNA R71
Rfam family: Plant small nucleolar RNA R71
About the family: R71 is a member of the C/D box family of snoRNAs containing the C (UGAUGA) and D (CUGA) box motifs. Multiple nearly identical copies of this snoRNA have been identified in Arabidopsis, and it is thought to function as a 2'-O-ribose methylation guide for 18S ribosomal RNA.
Source: Rfam by way of RNAcentral